Mesocricetus auratus (golden hamster) is the source of this 813-nucleotide long non-coding RNA. RefSeq lists it as uncharacterized. The record is from RefSeq and is a predicted model, not a curated record. The transcript is spliced from 2 exons. NCBI's taxonomy places the organism in Eukaryota, Metazoa, Chordata, Mammalia, Rodentia, Cricetidae.
AGCCUGGUUUCAGUUGCUGCGAGAGCAUCUCUCUCUUAGACCAACAUCCUGCAUCCUAUAAGAAGCAGGGGACAUGACAUUUCAGAUAUACUCUUCCACUGAUGCUUGGAGCUCACCAAAGAGGUAAGACUGGCUUGGCAGUGAACCCCAGGCAUCCUCUGUGUACCUCCCAGUACAGGAUUACAAGUGUGAAUUCUGUGGAUCAGUUGUGGGUCCUCAUGCUUGCAAGUCCUUGGAUUUGGACUGUCCUUUAAGACACAGCUAAUCUUCAGCAUGUAACCCAGGUGGUAUUCUUAGACUUUCUGUGGAGUGUGGUCUCUUCUCCUGUUCUCUGGAGUGCUAUUCUUUCAAGAACGUUCUUUUGAGACCCACUUCCCUGCUAGAAAAGCCCAAAGCACUUGGAAAUAAAAGGAGCAAAGGAGCUCACAGCCCAGCUCAGAGGGCUCUGCUUCACGAGGUUAAUACUGAUCUUCAUCUCCACGGGAAUUAGAACCACCCAGAAAACAAACUUCUGGGCAUAUCUGUAAAGAAGUCUCAGACAGAGUUAACUGGGAUGGGAAGCCCAGCUCUUAAAAUGACAGUACCCUGCCAUGACCUGGGUUCCUGGACUGGAGAGAAAGGAGGUGAGCUGAGACACAGCGUUCACUGCUCUCUUCUCAGCGGCUGAUGCCCCAUGACCACCUGCUUCAGGCUGCCGCCGCCAUGCCUUCCUUACCAGGAUGGUUUCUACCCUUGAACGAUGAACCAGAAGCCCUUCCUUCAUUAAUUUGCAUUUGUCAGAUAUUUUAUCAUUGCAAUAAAAAGUAAACAAAA